RNAcentral lists this non-coding RNA (27 nucleotides) under Rattus norvegicus (Norway rat). Lineage: Eukaryota; Metazoa; Chordata; Mammalia; Rodentia; Muridae. The record is from RNAcentral.
UGACAAGGGCAUUUCUUAAUGCACCAU